UCGUAGCUCAGUCGGUACAGCAUGAGAUUCUUUAUCUCAGGGCUGUGGGUUCAAGCCCUGCAUAGCACAA
Podarcis lilfordi (Lilford's wall lizard) is the source of this 70-nucleotide non-coding RNA. Lineage: Eukaryota; Metazoa; Chordata; Lepidosauria; Squamata; Lacertidae. The record is from the annotation of a GenBank genome assembly.